RNAcentral lists this ribosomal RNA (118 nucleotides) under Eucalyptus grandis. The record is from RNAcentral. Lineage: Eukaryota; Viridiplantae; Streptophyta; Magnoliopsida; Myrtales; Myrtaceae.
GAGUGUGAUCAUAUCAGCACUAAUGUACUAUCCCCAUCAGAACUUUGAAGUUAAGCGUGCUUGGGUGAGAGUGGUAUUAGGAUGGAUGACCUCUUAAGAAGUCCUCAUGUUGCACCCC